Molecule: long non-coding RNA, 1473 nt
Filed under: Gadus morhua (Atlantic cod)
Lineage: Eukaryota; Metazoa; Chordata; Actinopteri; Gadiformes; Gadidae
Description: lncRNA (ENSGMOG00000030425.1)
Source: RNAcentral
AGACACGUCAGUGUAAUUGUGGAUGGCGAGAGCCCUGAAAUACAGCUGGACAGCAGCGGUCUACAUCACUGCCCCUUCUGCAGAUACAAAGGGUCAAAAUGUGAUAUCGACGAUCACAUUAAAUGGCAUGCCUCGGUUAAAUACAGAGGUCUGCAGAGGAGCUUUCAGGAAGCAGGAAGAGAAGACGGGAGGAAAAAAAGCUACAGACAAAACUGAAGACCAGGAACUGAAACCUGGGAACCUGGAAGAUUAUGUUGUCCUGAAGGACACAAUUCAGGCAGCAGCAUGGUGCCAUUUACAGUCCUUCAAGGACAGCGUUUCUCUCCCAGAGGUCAUUGGGAUGGAAGGUUGGGAGCAGAUGGCAGCAUCAACACAGCGCGAAUCCCAUGACGGCGGGGAUGAGGAAGAAACGUGGAAACCAUUCCAAUUCUCGUUCAGAUUACAUACUGACUAUGAACUGUUCUGUGUGGAGAUGUUGGACAGGAGAAACCUGAAGGUGUUUGCCUCUUUUGAGUCGAACACCUCUCCCCCUCCCCGUGACGCCUGCGCCACACGACUCCAAUGUAGUCUGAUGAUGCAGCAUAAUGGCGGCACUUGGCAGCUAUGGCGGCGGUGACGGCGAUGUCGGGCGACAGAGCGUGAAGCAAGAGUGGCGUCCACCUCACUGAGGAAGGCGUCAGUGUGUUCCCCCCCCCUCCCCCCCCCCCCCCCUGUUGAGGGCUUUGUUUGUUCUACUCUUUAUUGAUUUAUCUUUUAUGUUAAUAGUUUACAAUCUAUUUUUUGUAGUUGUUAUUUUUUAAUUGUUUUGUUGAAUAAAAAGACUGUUAGUGCUCCUGUGAUUGGUGUAACUUAAUGUGCUUCACACAUGUAGCUUUUCAUUAUGUCUAUUGAGGUACAUUUAUUGCCCUUAGAUGUGGUCACUUCGUUAUUCCUCACAUUACAUCUGUUAAGGUCAUACCUUUGGGUCCCAGUCUUCAUAGUUCCCCAAAUCUUAUUUUGGCUCUUACUGGGCCUGUAACUCUCACAGACAGACGGGUACAGGAGUUCGGACACGUUGCAUUGUUUACAGGCAAGGGUGGAUUACCGCACGGGCACACCGGGCACAUGCCCAGGGGCCCAAGGGCGGCCCUAAGCCAGAGCUUCUGUGUGAAGUCGCUGUUAGUAACUUUUAAUGUUGCAUUGUCAAAGCAAUCAGUAGAGAAACACAAAAAUUCAAGCGAAAACGGCAAUAGUAGGGCUAUUAAUACUGUCACGACCCGGCUCAUGGUCGGACAAAUAAAAGGAACUGCGUAGGUAAAAGUAACAAAAGGAUAAUUUAUUUCCCUAACACAAGGGACCAAAAUGACGGCAAAGCAAACAAAGAGAACACAAUAGAAAACGAGGGGCUGCGGCGGAGCGGCACACCGCUCUCCCUCCGGAGCCAGGCGAUGUCAGGAAGAGACUGAGGCAGGAGGAAGGACCAGCUUAACACAG